UUUUUGCUCAGUUCUUAUUAUGGCACCCUCAACGGAGUUGGGGUGACAUAUUGUUAUUGUUCGUUUCUUUUUUUUCUUUUUAUUAUUAUUAUUUUUAUUCUUCCACACAUUUUGUCCAUGCUAUUUCUCAGAAUUGGUCAAAUCAAUGUUGAUGGAACUGUACCAUAAUAUGAACCGCCAUCUUAAGUUGUGCAAGAGACAUUGGAAUGGUAAAAAAUGGCCGCUGUUACCAUGGAAACUGAACAAAUGUGAAAAAAUCCAGUUUUUUGUUUUGGUGAACUAUUUGGAUACUAUUUAACUCAGAAUCAUUAUAUUUUGAUACAAUGUAGGUGCCCACUAUAUACAGGUGUUGGAUGAUUUUGGCACUCAUUGGAACUACUAUGUUGCCAUGGAAACUACUCCAAAAAAUUCAAAAAUCUCAAAAUGUUCCAAACUUAAUGAAACUUCACAGUAACGAUGAGCAACAUUGGAAGAUGUGGAAUUUGGCGUUGGAAUUUCCAAAAUCGCUCUUGUUACCAUGGAAACAAUGCAAAAAGGUUAAAACUUUGAAUUUUCACAGAACAUUCUAGAACAUCAAUG
This 579-nucleotide long non-coding RNA is filed under the name Mytilus galloprovincialis (Mediterranean mussel). The record is from RNAcentral. Lineage: Eukaryota; Metazoa; Mollusca; Bivalvia; Mytilida; Mytilidae.